Molecule: ribosomal RNA, 419 nt
Filed under: uncultured bacterium
Lineage: Bacteria
Description: partial 16S ribosomal RNA
Rfam family: Bacterial small subunit ribosomal RNA
Source: RNAcentral
AAUAUUGGGCAAUGGACGAAAGUCUGACCCAGCCAUGCCGCGUGGAGGAUGAAGGUCCUCUGGAUUGUAAACUUCUUUUAUCUGGGAAGAAACCCACGGUUUCCACUGUGGUUGACGGUACCAGAUGAAUAAGCACCGGCUAACUCCGUGCCAGCAGCCGCGGUAAUACGGAGGGUGCAAGCGUUAUCCGGAUUCACUGGGUUUAAAGGGUGCGUAGGCUGGUUGCCAAGUCCGUGGUGAAAUCUCUGAGCUUAACUCAGAAACUGCCGUGGAUACUGGUAAUCUUGAAUAUCGCGGAGGUGAGCGGAAUAUGUCAUGUAGCGGUGAAAUGCGUAGAUAUGACAUAGAACACCGAUAGCGAAGGCAGCUUACUACACGAUCAUUGACGCUGAGGCACGAAAGCGUGGGGAGCAAACAGG